CCUACGGGAGGCAGCAGUAGGGAAUCUUCCACAAUGGGCGAAAGCCUGAUGGAGCAACGCCGCGUGGGUGAAGAAGGUCUUCGGAUCGUAAAACCCUGUUGUUAGAGAAGUAAGUGCGUGAGAGUAACUGUUCACGUUUCGACGGUAUCUAACCAGAAAGCCAAGGCUAACUACGUGCCAGCAGCCGAUGUAAUACGUAGGUGCCAAGCGUUAUCCGGAUUUAUUGCGGGUAAAGGGAACGCAGGCGGUCUUUUAAGUCUGAUGUGAAAGCCUUCGGCUUAACCGGAGUAGUGCAUUGGAAACGGGGAGUCUUGAGUGCAGAAGAGGAGAGUGGAACUCGAUGUGUAGCGGUGAAAUGCGUAGAUAUAUGGAAGAACACCAGUGGCGAAAGCGGCUCACUGGUCUGUAACUGACGCUGAGGUUCGAAAGCGUGGGUAGCAAACAGGAUUAGAUACCCCAGUAGUC
RNAcentral lists this ribosomal RNA (465 nucleotides) under uncultured bacterium. Its description in RNAcentral is "partial 16S ribosomal RNA". It matches the Rfam family "Bacterial small subunit ribosomal RNA", at positions 338 to 795 of the family's 1533-position model. The record is from RNAcentral.